UCGACUAAGCAUGCGAGUUGAUGUAGCAAUACGUGGCGUACUGCUCAGUAACACGUGGAUAACCUACCCUUGGGACGGGGAUAAACCCGGGAAACUGGGUAUAAUACCCGAUAAUCCUCGAAUGCUGGAAUGCGUCGAGGAUGAAAGCUCCGACGCCCAAGGAUGGGUCUGCGGCCUAUCAGGUAGUAGUGGGUGUAAUGGACCUACUAGCCUACAACGGGUACGGGUUGUGAGAGCAAGAGCCCGGAGAUGGAUUCUGAGACACGAAUCCAGGCCCUACGGGGUGCAGCAGGCGCGAAACCUUUACAAUGCUGGCAACAGCGAUAGGGGGACCUCGAGUGCCAUCGUACAACGAUGGCUGUCGUUGUGCCUAAAAAGCACGAUAUAGC
This 389-nucleotide ribosomal RNA is filed under the name uncultured methanogenic archaeon. RNAcentral's name for it is "bacterial SSU rRNA". It matches the Rfam family "Archaeal small subunit ribosomal RNA", at positions 40 to 437 of the family's 1478-position model. Lineage: Archaea; Methanobacteriati; Methanobacteriota. The record is from RNAcentral.